This 211-nucleotide long non-coding RNA is filed under the name Nicotiana benthamiana. RNAcentral's name for it is "long non-coding RNA (NBEN_LNC024577)". Lineage: Eukaryota; Viridiplantae; Streptophyta; Magnoliopsida; Solanales; Solanaceae. The record is from RNAcentral.
GCCAAUGUACAAGUUACAUCAUAAUUUAUGUAUUAUUUCUAACAAAUCUCAUAAAACCUUCAAGGUUUGGAGGUGGUUGUGUUGGCGUGGUGGAAAUGAAGCUUGUUCAUCACCACUUCCGGGUGAAGUUACUUCCUGAGCAAGUUCUGCUAUCAUUUCUUCAUACGCCUCAUCUAUUUCUGGUUGUGAUUCUGGUAGGCCAAAGUUCCUU